GACGAACGCUGGCGGCGUGCUUAACACAUGCAAGUCGAACGGAAAGGCCCUGCUUUUGUGGGGUGCUCGAGUGGCGAACGGGUGAGUAACACGUGAGUAACCUGCCCUUGACUUUGGGAUAACUUCAGGAAACUGGGGCUAAUACCGGAUAGGAGCUCCUGCUGCAUGGUGGGGGUUGGAAAGUUUCGGCGGUUGGGGAUGGACUCGCGGCUUAUCAGCUUGUUGGUGGGGUAGUGGCUUACCAAGGCUUUGACGGGUAGCCGGCCUGGGAGGGUGACCGGCCACAUUGGGACUGAGAUACGGCCCAGACGCCUACGGGAGGCAGCGGUGGGGAAUAUUGCACAAUGGGCGGAAGCCUGAUGCAGCAACGCCGCGUGCGGGAUGACGGCCUUCGGGUUGUAAACCGCUUUCGCCUGUGACGAAGCGUGAGUGACGGUAAUGGGUAAAGAAGCACCGGCUAACUACGUG
This 468-nucleotide ribosomal RNA is filed under the name uncultured bacterium. RNAcentral's name for it is "partial 16S ribosomal RNA". It matches the Rfam family "Bacterial small subunit ribosomal RNA", at positions 28 to 507 of the family's 1533-position model. The record is from RNAcentral.